CCUACGGGAGGCAGCAGUGGGGGAUAUUGCACAAUGGGGGAAACCCUGAUGCAGCGACGCCGCGUGUGGGAAGACGGUCUUCUGGAUUGUAAACCACUUUCCCCAGGGACGAAAAUGACGGUACCUGGGGAGGAAGCUACGGCAAACUACGUGCCAGCAGCCGCGGUAAUACGUAGGGAGCAAGCGUUGUCCGGAAUUACUGGGUGUAAAGGGAGCGUAGGCGGGGAUGCAAGUUGGGUGUCAAAACUACCGGCUCAACCGAUAGUCGCACUCAAAACUGCAGCUCUUGAGUGAAGUAGAGGCAGGCGGAAUGCCUGGUGUAGCGGUGAAAUGCGUAGAUAUUAGGAGGAACACCAGUGGCGAAGGCGGCGUGCUGGGCUUUUACUGACGCUGAGGCUCGAAAGUGUGGGGAGCAAACAGGAUUAGAUACCCGGGUAGUC
Molecule: ribosomal RNA, 440 nt
Filed under: uncultured bacterium
Lineage: Bacteria
Description: partial 16S ribosomal RNA
Rfam family: Bacterial small subunit ribosomal RNA
Source: RNAcentral